CGAACCUGCGAAGGCAAGCGGAUCUCUUAAAGCCGUUCUCAGUUCGGACUGUAGGCUGCAACUCGCCUACACGAAGCUGGAAUCGCUAGUAAUCGCGGAUCAGCACGCCGCGGUGAAUACGUUCCCGGGCCUUGUACACACCGCCCGUCACACCAUGAGAGUCUGUAACACCCAAAGCCGGUGGGAUAACCUUUAUUAGGAGUCACGCCGUCUAAGGUAGGACAGAUGAUUAGGGUGAAGUCGUAACAAGGUAGC
Molecule: ribosomal RNA, 255 nt
Filed under: uncultured bacterium
Lineage: Bacteria
Description: partial 16S ribosomal RNA
Rfam family: Bacterial small subunit ribosomal RNA
Source: RNAcentral